AAUAGAUACCCUGGUAGUCCACGCCGUAAACGUUGGGCGCUAGGUGUGGGGUCCUUCCACGGGCUCUGUGCCGCAGNCUAACGCAUUAAGCACCCCGCCUGGGGAGUACGGCCGCAAGGCUAAAACUCAAAGGAAUUGACGGGGGCCCGCACAAGCAGCGGAGCAUGUGGCUUAAUUCGACGCAACGCGAAGAACCUUACCAAGGCUUGACAUACACCGAAAACUCGUAGAGAUACGGGGUCCGCAAGGGCGGUGUACAGGUGGUGCAUGGUUGUCGUCAGCUCGUGUCGUGAGAUGUUGGGUUAAGUCCCGCAACGAGCGCAACCCUCGUUCUAUGUUGCCAGCGCGUCAUGGCGGGGACUCAUAGGAGACUGCCGGGGUCAACUCGGAGGAAGGUGGGGACGACGUCAAAUCAUCAUGCCCCUUAUGUCUUGGGCUGCACACAUGCUACAAUGGCCGGUACAAAGGGCUGCUAAACCGCGAGGUGGAGCGAAUCCCAAAAAACUGGUCUCAGUUCGGAUUGGGGU
RNAcentral lists this ribosomal RNA (527 nucleotides) under uncultured bacterium. RNAcentral's name for it is "bacterial SSU rRNA". It matches the Rfam family "Bacterial small subunit ribosomal RNA", at positions 777 to 1304 of the family's 1533-position model. The record is from RNAcentral.